This 170-nucleotide ribosomal RNA is filed under the name uncultured Acidobacteriota bacterium. RNAcentral describes it as "uncultured Acidobacteria bacterium partial 16S ribosomal RNA". It matches the Rfam family "Bacterial small subunit ribosomal RNA", at positions 337 to 524 of the family's 1533-position model. The record is from RNAcentral. Lineage: Bacteria; Pseudomonadati; Acidobacteriota.
GCCUACGGGAGGCAGCAGUCGGGAAUUUUGGGCAAUGGGGGAAACCCUGACCCAGCAACGCCGCGUGAAGGAUGAAGUACUUCGGUAUGUAAACUUCGAAAGAAUAGGAAGAAUUAAUGACGGUACUAUUUAUAAGGUCCGGCUAACUACGUGCCAGCAGCCGCGGUAAU